This 510-nucleotide ribosomal RNA is filed under the name uncultured bacterium. RNAcentral's name for it is "bacterial SSU rRNA". It matches the Rfam family "Bacterial small subunit ribosomal RNA", at positions 8 to 507 of the family's 1533-position model. The record is from RNAcentral.
AGAGUUUGAUCCUGGCUCAGAGUGAACGCUGGCGGCAGGCCUAAUACAUGCAAGUCGAACGGCAGCACAGUGGAGCUUGCUCCAUGGGUGGCGAGUGGCGGACGGGUGAGGAAUACAUGGGAAUCUGCCCAGUCGUGGGGGAUAACGUAGGGAAACUUACGCUAAUACCGCAUGCGCCCUUCGGGGGAAAGCCGGGGACCGUAAGGCCUGGCGCGAUUGGAUGAGCCCAUGUCGGAUUAGCUAGUUGGCGGGGUAACGGCCCACCAAGGCGACGAUCCGUAGCUGGUCUGAGAGGAUGAUCAGCCACACUGGAACUGAGACACGGUCCAGACUCCUACGGGAGGCAGCAGUAGGGAAUAUUGGACAAUGGGCGCAAGCCUGAUCCAGCCAUGCCGCGUGAGUGAAGAAGGCCCUCGGGUUGUAAAGCUCUUUUGUCCGGAAAGAAAAGCACUGGGUUAAUACCCCGGUGUCCUGACGGUACCGGAAGAAUAAGCACCGGCUAACUUCGUG